RNAcentral lists this ribosomal RNA (336 nucleotides) under uncultured bacterium. Its description in RNAcentral is "bacterial SSU rRNA". It matches the Rfam family "Archaeal small subunit ribosomal RNA", at positions 518 to 853 of the family's 1478-position model. The record is from RNAcentral.
UCCGUAGCCGGGUUGUUAAGUCUCCUGGGAAAUCCAACGGCUCAACCGUUGGGCGGUCAGGGGAUACUGGCAAUCUAGGGAUCGGGGGAGGUGAGAGGUACUCUAGGGGUAGGAGUGAAAUCCUGUAAUCCUUGGGGGACCACCUGUGGCGAAGGCGUCUCACCAGAACGACUCCGACGGUGAGGGACGAAAGCUGGGGGAGCAAACCGGAUUAGAUACCCGGGUAGUCCCAGCUGUAAACGAUGCGCGUUAGGUGUAUCGGUGACUACGAGUCACCGAGGUGCCGAAGGGAAACCGUGAAACGUGCCGCCUGGGAAGUACGGUCGCAAGGCUGAA